This 387-nucleotide long non-coding RNA is filed under the name Ananas comosus (pineapple). RNAcentral describes it as "long non-coding RNA (ACOM_LNC037825)". Lineage: Eukaryota; Viridiplantae; Streptophyta; Magnoliopsida; Poales; Bromeliaceae. The record is from RNAcentral.
ACCGCGGUAAAGAUAUCGCGCCAUAGACAGUGACUACCGAGUCGGGUUACAUUUUGUAGUAGCGUUCCUCUACUUCAUCUUUUGUAUUUGAUGAAUUGAGACGUAAAAGAAAGAAUGUAAUGUUUAUCUCGAGGAGAAUGUGAUGUAAAAAGAAAUGAUGGAAAGUAUGUAAUGAACUAUGAAUGUACAAGUUAAAUGCAAUGUAUGUGAUCAAAAGAGAAUCAUAGUACUUGUGUAGAUGUUUAGUUUCCCUUCUUUCACUCAUGGUUAUUGCUUACCCUCGUGUAAGCCGUUUGUGUAUGUUUCCGCUAGUGCUUUUCUCUACUUGAAAAAUGUACAGGUGAUGAGCCUUGGGCGGACAGGGGAAACUCUGUCCGUUCGGCGUCU